Leptidea sinapis is the source of this 527-nucleotide long non-coding RNA. RefSeq lists it as uncharacterized. The transcript has 3 exons. NCBI's taxonomy places the organism in Eukaryota, Metazoa, Arthropoda, Insecta, Lepidoptera, Pieridae. The record is from RefSeq and is a predicted model, not a curated record.
UGUUACGUUAACUGUCAAUUAUAAUUAAUCCCAAAAAAAAAUUUUGUUUAUGUUUUGAAUUGAAAAGAUAAUGGAGAAAACAAUAUUUGGCUCCUCAUUGGUGGUGGAAUAUUGUUCCAACACUUGGACGCAGCAUAACGAAAACUUCCUCUAAAGGCUGCUGAACUGUGUUGAGGUAUUGUGAUUUGCAUAGCAGCUUUUCGAGUAUCACAGGACCUACGAUCUGAAAACCAGGAAAGCUUUUUAUAUAAAAACUCCACAACAUAAAGUAACCAUUUUUAGAAGUACAGCUGGGUGUGGUGGAUGUAUAAGCAUCAAUCUGAUUAGGAAUAAUGUUCCAUGAAAUUUGGGCAGUGUUUAAAUCACCAGCUACUAAUGCAUCACUGUUAUCUAUCAGAGUAAUAGCACUCACUAGUGAUACAGUAUAAUUGAUUUUCAAGCCAAAGCAAAACAAAACAAAACAUUGUUAAAGGUGGCGGCAAGUAUACAUCACAAUUACAUAAACUAUUAAAUAUAUUUUUAUCAGG